This 4020-nucleotide long non-coding RNA is filed under the name Marmota monax (woodchuck). Lineage: Eukaryota; Metazoa; Chordata; Mammalia; Rodentia; Sciuridae. The record is from RNAcentral.
UGUGCAUGUGAGGCAAGCACUGCACCAACUGAGCUAUAUCCCCAGCCCUGCAGCCAAAUCUUGAAAACUACAAAGUGAUUAAGUGGAAGGUGGUGAAAGGACAUUCCAGGCAAAUGGACCAGCAAAGACAGAGACAGAAAGAUCAUGCUGUGAUUUGGAGGUUGGUAGAGCUCAUUGCCUAAAGAUGGACCAGGUAGAGUGUAUUAGAUGGAGGCAAGACUGCACAGCAUACUGGGCUUGGUGGCCAACACGCCUGUAAUCCAAGCGACUUGAGAGACUGAGAAACGAGGGCCGCUAGUUUAAGGCCAGCCCUAGCAACUUAGUGAGGCUGUAAGCAGAAUGCACAGACUUGCAUUGUCAACUUAGUUUAUACUUGGACCUCUGAGAGUCUGUCUUGUUCAUUCAUCAUCCUCCAUGGCUCCCUUCUCUAUGAGAGUCUCUGCUUGAUUUCCAGUGACAAAGAACCUGUCCUUUGAAAGCCCUUUUUAAAUUUUUUAAGAUUUUGAGACAGGUUCUAAGUUGCUGACGCUGGCCUUGAAUUUACAAGCCUACUGUCUCAGCCUCCAUAGUCUCUAGUAUCUAGUUAGCUAUACCCUUUCUUCUCUCUCUCUCUCUCUCUCUCUCUCUCUCUCUUUGUGUGUGUAUGUGGUACUGGAGAUUGAGAUUGAAUCAGGUGCUCUACUACUGAGUCACAUCCCCACUCUUUUUCAUUGUUAUUUAUUGUGGUUUGGGGAAUCAAACCCAGAACUUCAUUCUUGAAAUUUUGAGAUGGGGUCCUAAGUAGCCCAGGCUGGCCUUGAACUUGUGAUCCUCCCACCUCAGCUUUCUGAAUUACAGGCCUGUUCCACUGUGCCUGGCAGCACAUACCCUUUUUGUUCCUUUUUUUUUUUUUUAAUAGUAGAUGGACACAACACCUUUAUUUUUAUGUGGUGCUAAGGAUUGAACCCAGUGCCUCCCACGUGCUAGGAAAGUGCUUUACCAACUGAGCUAUAACCCCAGCCCCACAUACCCUUUCUUGACUGGGGGACUCCCUAAGAUUUUCUUCUUUUUGAGGUCCUUUCUGAUUCCUGAUGCCUCCACAGGGGCAUGUCACCCUCCUCCAACAUUGGCCCACUUAUGCCUCUUACAUAUAUGUGGUAGAGACCAGGCCUGCCCAUCAGCCCUCCUUUCCAAGCCUGGCAGGACUCUGCUGCAGAAAGAAAUGGGCACAAAUAUUACAGCUGGAUGCAGGGAGCUAUAAUAUCAGCGCCCAGCAGACGAAGCACCUGACACCAGAACCAGGCAGUCAGUCUCCCAGAGCCUCAAAAUAGCAGUUCAAAAUAUCCACAGGUGAAGCUUUAUUUUGCUGAGUCUCUUUUCUCUCUUGGCUUCCUCUUGCAAGCCCUUGGCAGCUCCUCUGAGUCUCAUGUUGAUCACAACAUUCAAUCUGAUGCAAUGGAAUGUUCCUUCUUUGCAAAAGGAAGGUGUGGGGGAGGAAGAUGACCUAGUCAACUACUUCUUGGGUUACAAGGUUUCAGGUGUGGGGUGACCACAGCUGAGGAGGGGCCCUAGGAGCUCAAAAUGCAGCUGGGUGUUUCUUGGCCUAGGCACUGACUGUCACACACAUCAGUGGCUUCCCUGAUGACCACCAGCUGUUUACAACCACUUUUUUUUUUAAUAUUUAUUUUUUAGUUGUAGUUGGACACAAUACCUUUAUUUCACUUAUUUAUUUUUAUGUGGUGCUGAAGAUCGAACCCAGGGUCUCGAACGUGCGAGGUGAGUGCUCUACCGCUGAGCCACAACCCCAGCCCAACAACCAUUUUUUAUAUGGGAGCUGCCCAUGGCUAGUCCCUGCCCUGACCCCAGACCACAGUUGUCCUACUUGAGUUCAGGCAGGCCCAUGAGAACUUAGAAACAAACAGGGCUGACCUGCUCAGAUUCCAGGAAGUACAAGUUAGUAAACAAAUCCUUCUGGCUACCUUGCCUCUGGUCAGCCCGCCAGACUCUUAGGACUCUACCUAAACAACUGUGUCCUGCCCUCCUCUAACACCUUCACACUGGCAUCCAUGCUGACCCUCUCAGCUCCCCUGCAUGAUUACCCAGCAGGGGCUCACAUCCCUAUUUCACAAAUGAAGAAACUGAGGCCCAGAAAGGACCAGAAUGCAGGUCGCCAGUUCACUGUGACCCCAAGGCCCACAAAAUUUCAUUUCUAGUCACUUAUUCUUUUGUGGCACGUUCAUGUAUGGAUGGAUACUCCAGACCUGAAUGGCCAUAUAUUGCUUAAAAUUAACCGAGGAAGAAGGGAAGGACGAAGGGGAUCAUUCACUGAAUACAAGCCUCUGGAAUUUUGUUACCCAGAGCACAGGGAACAGACCCACCUGAGAGGUGAAAGUGCAUGCUUAAGCCUAGAAACAGAUGUCUCACCUUCUCGUCUUGCGCCUCUGGGUCCUGCUCUGUGCUCCACCCUGUCACUGCCCUAGCCAGACCGGGCUAUAUAUAUAUAUUUUUUCAAUCCUUACACAGGCUAAACAUGGGGACUGAGCUACAUCCCCAGUCUCCCAGACUUGGCAUUUAAUUCCAUGACCACCUCCAUACUGAUUCUGUGCUCCUAAUAGUCCCCUCACCUGGUGACCGAAUACCGGUGAACUGAGAACCAAGCCUUCAACACAUGAGCUUUUAGGGGCUAUUUCAGAUCCAAGCCAUAACAGAAUUGUUCAUUUUCAUCUUGGUUAUUGUCAUUAAUCUCUUACUCAUCCUAAUCUGUAAAUUUCACUUAAAAUUUUUUUUUUUUAGUUAUAGAUGGAUCUAAUACUUUUAUUUUAUUUUUUCAUGCAGAGCUAAGGAUUGAAUCCAGUACCUCACACAUGCUAGAUAAGUGCUCUACCACUGAGCUACAGCCCAGUCCUGUAUAUUAAAUUUUACCAGGGACUCAAGAGGCUGAGGCAGGGGGGUUGUGAGUUCAAAGCCAGCCUCAGUAACAGCAAGGCACUGAGCAACUCACUGAGACCCUGUCUUUAAAUAAAACGCAAAAUAGGCCUGGGAAUGUGGCUCAAUGGAGUGCCCCUGAGUUCAAUCCCCAGUACCAAAAAAAAAAAAAAAAAAAAAAAAUUGUGGAUGUAGCUCAGUGGGCAAAGCACGUCUGGGUUCAAUCCCCAGUACCUAAAUAAACAAAUAAAUAAACAUAAACUUUAUCAUAGGGUGUGGUAUUAUUUGCAGUUUCAGGUAUCCACUGGGGGUCUUGGAACACACUUAUCUGAAGAUAAGGGGGAACUAUUAUACCACAACUUCUUCAUCCAUUCAUCUCAGUGGAAUUUUGGUUGCUUGAGAAUAGCUAGGGAUAUAGCUCAGUUGGUAGAGUAUUUGCCUCAACUGCACAAGGCCCUGGAUUCAAUCCCCAGCCUAAAAAAAAAAAAAAAGAGAGAGAGAGAGAGAAAGAGAAAAUAGUGUUGUAGCCAAUGCAAACUCUUUAUAUGUUGAGCUGAGAUGGCAAAUUUACUGGGUUCUGGGGAACAGGCUCCCUUCAGGACACUUCAGAGCUUCAAUUCCGUCUUGGGUUGGGAUGUGAGAGGCAUUGGAAGUCAUGCUGCAGCCAAGAUGGGCACAGCUGGGUUCCCUGUGUCCUGGGCUGCAGCCCCUUCACAUGGCUCCUCGCACACUAUAGGCUGAGGGUGUCAGCAGAUCUGUUCCAGUUUAUAAAACUGUGAGACAUUGGGCUGGGGAUGUGGCUCAAGCGGUAGUGCACUCGCCUGGCAUGCGUGCGGCCCGGGUUCAAUCCUCAGCACCACAUACAAACAAAGAUGUUGUGUCCGCCAAAAACUAAAAAAAAAUAAAUAUUAAAAUUAUCUCUCUCUCUCUCUCUCUUUAAAAAAACAAAACAAAACAAAACUGUGAGACAUCAUUCACCUGCAUCAGCCCCCUGCCUGGGACACCAUGUAGCAAAAGACAUAAAACUUCCUACUAGGAUUGCCAGGUGAGAUGCAGGGUACAAUAUUCAGAUCAUACUGACAUUAAAGAACUAUUCAUUGUUUGUUUGAAAUUCUA